This 349-nucleotide long non-coding RNA is filed under the name Homo sapiens (human). Its description in RNAcentral is "non-protein coding lnc-OTOGL-1:2". The record is from RNAcentral. Lineage: Eukaryota; Metazoa; Chordata; Mammalia; Primates; Hominidae.
CUGGGACAGACCUGGAAAGGAGGAAGCGGGGAAGGAAGGUUGUCCUGUCGGGCUGGGGGCUCCCGGGAAUCCGGAGGCCAGCAGUGGAACCGCAAGGCUCUACAGGGCAGAUCUGCCUCCCGUGCUGUCUCAGCUACGCCGAGUCGUUGGCUCAGGGCGGAGGAUUUUCCUAUUGGCCGCGUUAUUUGAAUGGAAUGGAGGAUAGGUCGUGAAGUAGGUGCUGCUGGUUGAUCUUUCUAAGGAACUCAGAUGAACUUGGGCAUGUCAGAAUUAAUAACCUUUUAAAAGUGGGGUCUGUGUGGCCGAGGGUUUUAAUGGGUGGAACCAAGCAGAGGGGUUCACCCAAGCC